UAGCAUUUUCUGACCACUGAAAUGUAACCAACACUUACUUACUUCUGCUGCUACAGUUUGAAUCUUGGCAAUUAGUUCUCAGAGUUACAUGUCAUUUGUUUCUGGUUUCUUGCAGUUGCUGGCAUUGUAUUCCUUUGCUGCAUCCUGGUCAUAUUUUAUCGACACAAGAAGAAAGGGAAAACAGAAGUUAGCGCCUCAUACAGCACUUACCAGGAUAAAUCCGCUUCGCCAGCAGAGUCCACACAGUAAACGGUUUCCACACAGUGCAUCUCCUGAUUCUUUUAGAAUGUUGACAUCGAUGGUAAAUUCAUAUCGCCUCUAUGGAAAACAUAUACGCCUUCCUCGAAAAACUAAAAACCAAACCAACGAAUGAUUCACCAGUUCCACUUGCUGGUAUAUAUCCAAAGGAAACAAACAAACAAACAAAAACACUGCAGCUCUCUGUUCUCUGCAGCAUUAUUUACAACGGCCACCACACGGAUGCCAACCUAAGUGCCCCCGGACAGAUGAAUCGUUAAAAGAAAACAUGGCAUCCAAAUACGGUGGCAGACUGUCCAGCCAUGAAAAAGGAAGGAAAUCUUGCUGUUGGCCACAAAAUGCACGGACCUUCAGGCAUUUUGCUAAGUGAAAUAAGGUCGAACAAAGACAAAAUACUGUAUGAUCUCAUUUGUAGAAUCUAAAAGGAAAAAAAAAAAAAACCCCACAAAACAAAAACAAACCCUAGAAACAGAUUGGGGGUUGCUGGGGGGUGGGGGGCAGAUUCGGCUGAAGGUGGUCAAAAGGGACACACUUCCAGUUCUAAGACUAACAAGUGCUGGGAUGUAAUUAUCGUUCAGUCUGCUGUCAGUAGUAUAUUGUAUUUUUGGAGAGUUGCUGAGCAGAAGACCAACGCUUUUAUAAUUGAAGUAAUGGAUGUGAACUAAGUUCAUUGUGGUAAUCCUUUCAUAGUAUAUACAUUCUCAAAUUAUGCUCCUACACCUUAUACACAAUGUUACGUGUCAGUUAAUAAAACCAGAAAGGGGGAAAGAAAGGAUGUAUAAAAACUAUUCCCUAGGGUUUUUUCCCCCACUUUCAUGAAUGCAACUGUUAAUUAAGCCAUCGUGCUAGCGUUUUAAUGUGCUUUGAAUGUACUCACCAUCUUUCGAUGCUUCUUUGAACCGUAUGUGCAUUUGGGUAUCAACAUCUGGCCUGUUUCUCCUUAAAAUAACACGUGCAUUUAUAGGGCAACUCAAUACAAUAUCCCCGGUAUUUAGGUGCGGAAAUUAUUUUUUAAAAUGAAAUUUCCAACUGUAGACAACUAUAGUGCAAAAUAAAUUACGUUUCCUUUGUAAAGAAAGUGACAAAUCUUUUUUGUAAAAAGAUUAAUGAGAAGUCUUAAGAUUCAUUCUCUCCACAACUCUAAGACAUGUUUUACAUAUUGUUCAGUGUAAAAAGUCUUUCAAAUAUGUGUAUGCUACUCUCACCCUUCACACUAAAAAGAGGAACGCUGAAAAUUGGGAUUUUGAACAAGUUUGACUUCCUUAACUGAGAGAGAAUAUUAUCAGAAAACAAAGUAAAUAGGGUUGAAUUCUAUAUGUUUUUUAACUAUUUGUAGUUUCUUGGUGACUUCCAGAAGCUAGAAAGUUUAUGGCCUUUGUUCUUCACUUUUUCAAACGUCAGUAAACAGCGAAGUCAGGAAUUCAGAAUCCGUUGGAAACUCCUGUACAACUUUAGAGAGUUCUCACACUCAUAAAAGGAAUGGCAGCUGGGGGUACAGAGUGAACCUGUGGCCUAUAAUUUUCUCUAAGACGAUUCUGCUCUUUAAUAAAAUUAGAUUCCACUCUGAAUUCCAGCAACGGGUGAUUUUCUCCCUGUACUUGAAUAAGACGAUGCCUUUAAACAACGUCAUGUAAAAGUAGUGACUUUGGCAGGAAUAUCUCCAUCCGAUAACCUCAGGUUGUAUCAGAAUCUUAGUUCUUACGUGCAUCUCACCUUAACUGCUAAAAACAGUAAAAAUUCAGCCACAUUAUUUCAAGAAAGGAAACUGUGUCCGCUACUGGCCGAACAAAGGGACAGAGAAAGCAAACGGCUGCAGUGGCCCCUGGGGCUCCGGUGGCACUGACCGUGACCUGAGUCCUUACACCAGGCAGAGUCUGAAAUAAGCCACUGGGCAGAGAGGAGGGACGGCCACUCACAUUCAGAGUACAGUUUUACAAAUUUUGUUUUGCACUUUCAUAGUUAGUAGCAUAAGUUAGGCCAAAGAAACGCUGCCUUGAGAAGGACAUGAUUGGGAAUCAUGUUUUACAAGUAUUGGUUUACGGAUAAAGCAUGUUUAUGAUGCACUGUAAGUGUCCCCUUCCUGAGGGAUCGGUGAGGUACUUCGGGAAGAUCCGCUUGAGCAGAAAGAAACAGGAAUUUUGAAUUAAGUACAGAGAUGAAGUUUUACUAUACCCAUUUUCACAUACUUUUCAGGGAUGUAGCACUUGCUCAGGAACAAGAGAUGGCUGUACUGUUGAUUUUUAACAAGCCCAGUUGACUCUUUUGCAACCAAAGAUUGUUAUGCUAUUUUCCAAAAAAAUUGUUAUGUUAUUGUUACGUUGUUUUUCCAAAACAGACUUUUAUACUAGUUUCUGCUUCAAAUUUAUUUUUUUUUAUUUUGUAUAUUUAUACAAAAUUGCUCUCGAUAUAUAAAUCUAAAUUUUGUUUUUCAAAUAAUGGCAAUUAUAUAUGCCAUUAUAUACAUUUAUAUAUAUGGGAUAAAAUGAAAAGUUUCUCUAAUGACGUGGAAAGCAGCAUAUGUGAAAGGUUGCUAAAACCGGAAGAAUGUAUUUGCAGUGAGAUGAGAAGUCCCAUGUGGGGGGGGGGGGGGGGUUUAUUGUUCAUAUUUUGAAAAUGGGAUCUUCAAGUGUUGUGAAAAAUAAAAUCCAAGAUUGGGAGAG
This is a long non-coding RNA of Panthera uncia (snow leopard), 2918 nucleotides long. RefSeq lists it as uncharacterized. The transcript is spliced from 2 exons. NCBI's taxonomy places the organism in Eukaryota, Metazoa, Chordata, Mammalia, Carnivora, Felidae. The record is from RefSeq and is a predicted model, not a curated record.